Molecule: ribosomal RNA, 560 nt
Filed under: Pseudomonas sp. C3-5
Lineage: Bacteria; Pseudomonadati; Pseudomonadota; Gammaproteobacteria; Pseudomonadales; Pseudomonadaceae
Description: bacterial SSU rRNA
Rfam family: Bacterial small subunit ribosomal RNA
Source: RNAcentral
UGGGGGACAACGUUUCGAAAGGAACGCUAAUACCGCAUACGUCCUACGGGAGAAAGCAGGGGACCUUCGGGCCUUGCGCUAUCAGAUGAGCCUAGGUCGGAUUAGCUAGUUGGUGAGGUAAUGGCUCACCAAGGCGACGAUCCGUAACUGGUCUGAGAGGAUGAUCAGUCACACUGGAACUGAGACACGGUCCAGACUCCUACGGGAGGCAGCAGUGGGGAAUAUUGGACAAUGGGCGAAAGCCUGAUCCAGCCAUGCCGCGUGUGUGAAGAAGGUCUUCGGAUUGUAAAGCACUUUAAGUUGGGAGGAAGGGCAUUAACCUAAUACGUUAGUGUUUUGACGUUACCAACAGAAUAAGCACCGGCUAACUCUGUGCCAGCAGCCGCGGUAAUACAGAGGGUGCAAGCGUUAAUCGGAAUUACUGGGCGUAAAGCGCGCGUAGGUGGUUCGUUAAGUUGGAUGUGAAAUCCCCGGGCUCAACCUGGGAACUGCAUCCAAAACUGGCGAGCUAGAGUAGGGCAGAGGGUGGUGGAAUUUCCUGUGUAGCGGUGAAAUGCGUA